This 77-nucleotide transfer RNA is filed under the name Gammaproteobacteria bacterium. RNAcentral's name for it is "tRNA-Pro(ggg)". It matches the Rfam family "tRNA". From Rfam's summary of the family: Transfer RNA (tRNA) molecules are approximately 80 nucleotides in length. Their secondary structure includes four short double-helical elements and three loops (D, anti-codon, and T loops). Further hydrogen bonds mediate the characteristic L-shaped molecular structure. tRNAs have two regions of fundamental functional importance: the anti-codon, which is responsible for specific mRNA codon recognition, and the 3' end, to which the tRNAs corresponding amino acid is attached (by aminoacyl-tRNA synthetases). tRNAs cope with the degeneracy of the genetic code in two manners: having more than one tRNA (with a specific anti-codon) for a particular amino acid; and 'wobble' base-pairing, i.e. permitting non-standard base-pairing at the 3rd anti-codon position. The record is from RNAcentral. Lineage: Bacteria; Pseudomonadati; Pseudomonadota; Gammaproteobacteria. RNAcentral also lists the same sequence under 2 other names.
CGGGGCGUGGCGCAGUCUGGUAGCGCACUUGCAUGGGGUGCAAGGGGUCGCAGGUUCAAAUCCUGCCGUCCCGACCA